UGAAAAUCUAGACACACAACAGCUGCGAGAACUAAUAAGAGAAACUUAAUUGUUACUCAUUUUGCAGCUGGUUGAUCUUGUCUCCAAAUCUAUGGCUAAUCUUUCUUCCCCAUGUUUCAUCAUUCUGCUCUCGAUCAUCACCCUGUCAAUCAACGUAGAUGCGCGGCGUCUUCUAGAGGCAACAUUGCCUGAGCUUCCUAAGCCUGAGUUGCCAUCACUUCCUAAGGUUGAGCUUCCACCAUUACGUGAAGUCCCAAUCUUGCCUAAACCUGAAAUUCCUACUCUUCCAAAACCCGAAUUGCCCGAGUUACCAAAGCCUGAGCUGCCGGCUUUACCCCACUUGCCUGAGCUCCCAAAGCCUACAUUCCCUGUUAUACCCACAAUUCCUAAGGACACCAAACCUCUUCAGUCAACCACCAGUCCUUAAACAAUGAUCUCAUCUCCGUUGAUUUCGCAUUUGUCAGCGUGAUUUAUUGUUUUACGAGUGUCUGCUUCAUGUUUGCUUAUGUUGUAGUGAUUUAUUUUCUAUAUAUGUUUGGAGUUUAUCUUCUUCAUGUAAAGUUGACCUAGCUUAUAUAUAUGAUUAUGGGUAUGAAUAUAAUCAAUGUAAAUAAACAGUUUAUGAUCCAAGCGUCUAUUUUAAUAGUUUUUAUUUUCACAAACACGACAGCCCAUAAAAUUAAACAUGAAGAAAAUCAAGAAUAUGAAAUAUAAUUUUAUUAAAAAAAAUCAAUGCAAAAAAUUUUUUAAUUUAGACUAGCCCAACCAUUUUGGGUAUUGGGAGAGUUAUAAUCCUAUAUAAAAAGUUUUCUUAAAAGAUAAAUGAUUACUUAUUCAGCCAAUAUUAUUUUCUUACUUAAUUUUAGUCAUUACAAAAAAAAACUAUCAGCGACGGAAUUUUCCGUCGCUAAUAGUCCAAAAUUCGUCGCUGAAAUUAUCAGCGACGGAUUUCCGACGGCAUAAAAUACGUCGCUUAAAGUCAUGUCGCUAAUUUUUCCGACGGAUCUGAAAUACGUCGGAAAUAUUUGCGAUGGAUUUCCGACGGAUCAUGCUUCGAAAACUUUAGCGACCAACUUUGUUCGUCGCUAAAUCCGUCGGAAGAAGCAGAAUUCAUCCAAUAACCAAUUCGUCGCUAAUCUUUCAGAAAUAAUUAGUGACAGAAAAAAUCCGUCGGCAAUCCAUCGGAAAUUUCAAAAUAAUAUAGUUUGUUAAAACAUCAUAUAUUCUAUUUUUUAUUGUAAGAAAUCGCAUAAUAACUAAAUAAAAAUAAUAUAGUUUUUCUCAAAUCUAAUUUAAUUUAAUUGUUAAAAAGCAUAUAACUCAUGGAUUCAAUCUCCUAUUUCAAUGGUUAAUUCACAUUUGAUCUAUAUCAACUUUCAGCGGUACAAUUCAAUUCUGUCUUUAAUAAUGGGAAUUCUAUUCUCCAUUUAUUUUCCAGAAAGUGAUUUAUAUGUUAAAAAUAUUUUUCAAAAAGAAGCAAAAAAAAUUAUACCGCUGCAGGCAAGCUCCCCACCUGUGGUUGCAGCAAACAGGACAAUAGCCAACAUAACUCCACGAGUAGAAAGAAAAAAAAAACAAAGUCAAGUAGAUAACUUCCCAUAUCAACAAGGCAAGUCUUACAAGUGAGAAGUUGAACUGACUGCAGGCAAGCUCCCCACCUGGGCUGGCACCCACACAAACUUCAAAACUGGCCUAUUUUCGACUUUCCAAAUCUAUAAAAGCCCAGCAAAAUUGAAUAUUAACACAUACAAGACACAAGACAGAUUUCAACAUUUUAGGAGUUGCUACAACCUCUAUACCUUUCAAAGUAGCUAGCUCUUGAUUCUUGUAUCUGCUUCAAGUUAUGGCUAAAGUUCAUGCCACCGUAGUAUUUCCACUGUUGGUGAUUUCCUUGAUUAGCUACCACAAUUUCCAGGUAAAGGCUCGUCAUCUCCUGGAGACGACGUUGCCUGAGGUGCCUGAGCUUCCUAAGCCUGAAUUGCCUCAACUGCCACUACUGCCUAAGGUUGAGCUUCCACCAUUACCUGAAUUCCCAACCUUGCCAAAAC
This 2048-nucleotide long non-coding RNA is filed under the name Manihot esculenta (cassava). RNAcentral's name for it is "long non-coding RNA (MESC_LNC006153)". Lineage: Eukaryota; Viridiplantae; Streptophyta; Magnoliopsida; Malpighiales; Euphorbiaceae. The record is from RNAcentral.